Molecule: ribosomal RNA, 865 nt
Filed under: Russula aeruginea
Lineage: Eukaryota; Fungi; Basidiomycota; Agaricomycetes; Russulales; Russulaceae
Description: eukaryotic LSU rRNA
Rfam family: 5.8S ribosomal RNA (bases 341-494)
Source: RNAcentral
CCUCCGGAUUGGCUUUGGGGAGUCGGCGACGACACCCCGUUGCUGAGAAGUUGGUCAAACUUGGUCAUUUAGAGGAAGUAAAAGUCGUAACAAGGUUUCCGUAGGUGAACCUGCGGAAGGAUCAUUAUAGUACAACGGAGGUGCCUGGGCUGUUGCUGACCUCAAGGUCGUGCACGCCCGGAGUGCUCUCUCACAUCCAUCUCACCCCUUUGUGCAUCAUCGCGUGGGGCCCUCUCCUUUGGCUUGUUCCGGAAGGGGGGGGGGUNNNGUUUUUUACACGAACAACCCAUUAAUGCAUGUGUAGAAUGUCUUACUUUUUGCGGUCACACGCAAUCAAUACAACUUUCAACAACGGAUCUCUUGGCUCUCGCAUCGAUGAAGAACGCAGCGAAAUGCGAUACGUAAUGUGAAUUGCAGAAUUCAGUGAAUCAUCGAAUCUUUGAACGCACCUUGCGCCCCUUGGUAUUCCGAGGGGUGCACCCGUUUGAGUGUCGUGAACACCCUCAACCUUCUUGGUUUAUCGACCGGGAAGGCUUGGACUUUGGAGGUUUUUGUUGCUGGCCUCGUUUGAAGCCAGCUCCUCCUAAACGAAUUAGUGGGGUCCGCCGUGCCGACCCUUGACGUGAUAAGUACGCUUCUACGUCUUGGGGUUUCGCACUGUCGCCUGCUUCCAACCGUCUUCGAAUGAAGACAAUCUUAUAGACCUUGACCUCAAAUCGGGUGAGACUACCCGCUGAACUUAAGCAUAUCAAUAAGCGGAGGAAAAGAAACUAACAAGGAUUCCCCUAGUAACUGCGAGUGAAGCGGGAAAAGCUCAAAUUUAAAAUCUGGNGGUCUUUGGCCAUCCNAGUUGUAAUUUANAGAA